GGGACAGAGUGACAGGUGGUGCAUGGUUGUCGUCAGCUCGUGUCGUGAGAUGUUGGGUUAAGUCCCGCAACGAGCGCAACCCUUGAUCUUAGUUGCCAGCAUUCAGUUGGGCACUCUAAGGUGACUGCCGGUGACAAACNGGAGGAAGGUGGGGAUGACGUCAAAUCAUCAUGCCCCUUAUGACCUGGGCUACACACGUGCUACAAUGGACAGAACAAAGGGCUGCAAGACCGCAAGGUUUAGCCAAUCCCAUAAAUCUGUUCUCAGUUCGGAUCGCAGUCUGCAACUCGACUGCGUGAAGCUGGAAUCGCUAGUAAUCGCGGAUCANCAUGCCGCGGUGAAUACGUUCCCGGGCCUUGUACACACCGCCCGUCACACCACGAGAGUUUGCAACACCCGAAGUCG
Molecule: ribosomal RNA, 405 nt
Filed under: Bacillus pumilus
Lineage: Bacteria; Bacillati; Bacillota; Bacilli; Caryophanales; Bacillaceae
Description: bacterial SSU rRNA
Rfam family: Bacterial small subunit ribosomal RNA
Source: RNAcentral